RNAcentral lists this long non-coding RNA (464 nucleotides) under Pongo abelii (Sumatran orangutan). Its description in RNAcentral is "lincRNA". The record is from RNAcentral. Lineage: Eukaryota; Metazoa; Chordata; Mammalia; Primates; Hominidae.
CGUGCACUGCAGCAGCACCAGGACUUGACAGCCCUAUGGCUCGAUCAGCUUUCUGUUUUCAUUGCCUUAUGAUGCCAUGAGUGGAACUACUGGAAAAUCAGAGUUCACACCCCAGCUUUUCAGUCUUUCCCCUAAUUCUUGCUCUAUCAGAGGUCGAGGACAACAGUAUAAUGAUUCAUAGGCUCUACUUCCUGGCAAGUAAUCAUUUUCCCACGGGCCCUUUUUAUUUGAUGAAUAUGGAGGCACUAAGAAGCAGAAAUAGAACUGAGAAGAAUGAAAUAACUGUCUCUACCUUUCUCGAAUUGUCUGAUAUGGAAGGAAUGAAAGACAGCUAAUAAGCAACUCUCUGCAAGAAGACAUAUGGCUUAGGUUCUGCUGAGCUAUUGGUGAUUUGAUUCCAUGCAUAUGUAUUAACUACUGAGAUGGGAUCUUGCUAUGUUGCCCAGGCUGGCCUCAAACUCCUG